CUACAAGUAGCGGCAUCUGAACCGGGAUCUAAAAGGGGCUCAUAUAAGUCUGGAGAGAAGGGGAAGGGCUCGGAGUUGGGGUAUUUAGGAGCGGGAAUGGGCUACAACUCUUGGAUGUACCAACUCGUACCGCCGUCUGUUAACUGUACGAUAGAGUGAUUGUCUCCAGCGUUUUUUAUGGGCGUGGGCGACGGAGUCAAUGUUAUGCCAGUUGUGUUUUUUAUAUAAUAACAUGUUUCGUGAGUCUG
This 248-nucleotide unclassified non-coding RNA is filed under the name Yarrowia lipolytica. The record is from RNAcentral. Lineage: Eukaryota; Fungi; Ascomycota; Dipodascomycetes; Dipodascales.